Molecule: ribosomal RNA, 253 nt
Filed under: uncultured bacterium
Lineage: Bacteria
Description: partial 16S ribosomal RNA
Rfam family: Bacterial small subunit ribosomal RNA
Source: RNAcentral
UACGUAGGGGGCUAGCGUUGUCCGGAUUUAUUGGGCGUAAAGAGCGUGUAGGCGGCCAGGUAGGUCUGGUGUGAAAACUCGAGGCUUAACCUCGAGAUGUCAUCGGAAACCAUCUGGCUAGAGUCCGGAAGAGGAGAGUGGAAUUCCCGGUGUAGCGGUGAAAUGCGCAGAUAUCAGGAGGAACACCGAUUGCGAAGGCAGCUCGCUGGGACGUGACUGACGCUGAGACGCGAAAGCGUGGGGAGCAAACAGG